AUGAAUCAUGAACUACUGAUUUUAAUAAAUUAUUAUUUAUGCAUAUGAUUUCACCAACGGGUCGAAACGGGUUGUUGAUAGAAAAUAGUAGAAUGGAUGUGUAAAAAACCAAGGUGUUAAGAAAUGGUAUGAAAUGUUUAACGUAUGAAACAAGUUGCCUAACUUAGAAAAUGUUAUCAUUCUAAGUAUGGAAUUUUGAAAGAAUAAUGAACAUGAUGUAAAUACAUAAUUAUGCAUGCUAGAAGCUCAUGUAUGACUUUUGUGAUGAUGAAAUGAUAAAUUGUUAGAUUGAUUAGCAUUGUAGUAUUAUGAUACAUGUUGAACUCGUUAAGCGAUUGACACGUGAAUAGAAGUGUGAUUAGUGAUGCGUAUGAUUACGUAUACUAACUAUUGAAUGGAUGUAAUGGAAUGAGAUAAUAGGAACGUGUCAAGGAGAGCUCAAGCAUAGGAGGAUAACGGGUCAAGAUAAGGCAAGGUCACAAAUACACUUAUUGGAGCACUCAAGGUAAGUGAUUUCUAUAAUCACUUCUUAUUUUAUUUAAGUAAAGUAGCGUUAGUUGAUUAAGCAUGAUGGGGUUUGAAGUUUCAUAUGGUUUUGGUCGUAUGAAAUUGGUAAUUUUAGCUUAGUAGACCGAAUGGGACAAUAUAAAGUUGUAAUGCUAUGUAGAAUAAUGUCUAUGUAAUGGCUACGGUAUGUAACCGGGUAAUGGGUAAAAUUGCACAUAAGUGCACCAACCGAGAAUGGGGACUUAGGUUAAUGGGUCAAAGUGAAGGUAUACUUUAGCACGGAACGUUUGUACAAGCAAUGUCGAUAGUAUUUCAUGUGCCCGGUUAGUGUAAGGUGUUAUAACAUUAACAUUAUGUGAGCCUUAAGUGUAAACAUAUGAGUUGUUGAUAAAUGCAUGACGGGUCGAAUAAUUCGUAAUGGAUAAUAAGCCGAAAAUGUAUAAGUUAAGAAUUUCCUUAACCCGGAUGUUGGAUUUUAAGUUC
Molecule: long non-coding RNA, 990 nt
Filed under: Helianthus annuus (common sunflower)
Lineage: Eukaryota; Viridiplantae; Streptophyta; Magnoliopsida; Asterales; Asteraceae
Source: RNAcentral